RNAcentral lists this ribosomal RNA (442 nucleotides) under uncultured Alphaproteobacteria bacterium. RNAcentral describes it as "bacterial SSU rRNA". It matches the Rfam family "Bacterial small subunit ribosomal RNA", at positions 29 to 505 of the family's 1533-position model. The record is from RNAcentral. Lineage: Bacteria; Pseudomonadati; Pseudomonadota; Alphaproteobacteria.
AAUGAACGCUGGCGGCAGGCCUAACACAUGCAAGUCGAACGAGAACGGCACUUCGGUGCUUAGUAGAGUGGCAAACGGGUGAGUAACACGUGGGAACAUACCUUUCAGUUCGGGAUAACAGUUGGAAACGACUGCUAAUACCGGAUAUUCUCUACGGAGGAAAGAUUUAUCGCUGAAAGAUUGGCCCGCGGUGGAUUAGCUAGUUGGUAAGGUAAAGGCUUACCAAGGCUACGAUCUAUAGCUGGUUUGAGAGGAUGAUCAGCCACACUGGAACUGAGACACGGUCCAGACUCCUACGGGAGGCAGCAGUGAGGAAUAUUGCGCAAUGGAGGAAACUCUGACGCAGCCAUGCCGCGUGACUGAAGAAGGCCUUAGGGUUGUAAAAGUCUUUCAGAUGGGAUGAUAAUGACGUUACCAUCAGAAGAAGCUCCGGCUAACUUCG